CACGUAGGCGGCCUGGUAAGUCAGAUGUGAAAGCCCGGGGCUUAACCCCGGAAGUGCAUUUGAUACUGCCAGGCUUGAGUAUGGGAGAGGGAAGUGGAAUUCCUGGUGUAGAGGUGAAAUUCGUAGAUAUCAGGAGGAACACCGGUGGCGAAGGCGACUUCCUGGACCAAUACUGACGCUGAGGUGCGAAGGCGUGGGUAGCAAACAGGAUUAGAUACCCUGGUAGUCC
RNAcentral lists this ribosomal RNA (229 nucleotides) under uncultured bacterium. RNAcentral's name for it is "partial 16S ribosomal RNA". It matches the Rfam family "Bacterial small subunit ribosomal RNA", at positions 568 to 796 of the family's 1533-position model. The record is from RNAcentral.